This 332-nucleotide unclassified non-coding RNA is filed under the name soil metagenome. RNAcentral's name for it is "partial contains 5.8S ribosomal RNA, internal transcribed spacer 2, and large subunit ribosomal RNA". The stretch from base 1 to 120 matches the Rfam family "5.8S ribosomal RNA", at positions 35 to 154 of the family's 154-position model. The record is from RNAcentral.
GAUGAAGAACGCAGCGAAAUGCGAUAAGUAAUGUGAAUUGCAGAAUUCAGUGAAUCAUCGAAUCUUUGAACGCACAUUGCGCCCGCCAGUAUUCUAGCGGGCAUGCCUGUUCGAGCGUCAUUUCAACCCUCAAGCACAGCUUGGUGUUGGGACUCGCGUUAAUUCGCGUUCCCCAAAUUGAUUGGCGGUCACGUCGAGCUUCCAUAGCGUAGUAGUAAAACCCUCGUUACUGGUAAUCGUCGCGGCCACGCCGUUAAACCCCAACUUCUGAAUGUUGACCUCGGAUCAGGUAGGAAUACCCGCUGAACUUAAGCAUAUCAAUAAGCGGAGGA